UGCCAGCCGCCGCGGUAAUACGUAGGGAGCGAGCGUUGUCCGGAAUCAUUGGGCGUAAAGAGCGCGUAGGUGGAUCAGUUAGUCUGCUGUGAAAGUCAAAGGCUCAACCUUUGAAAGCCGGUGGAUACUGUUGAUCUAGAGUACGGAAGAGGCGAGUGGAACUCCUGGUGUAGCGGUGGAAUGCGCAGAUAUCAGGAAGAACACCAAUAGCGAAGGCAGCUCGCUGGGACGUUACUGACACUGAGGCGCGAAAGCGUGGGGAGCAAACAGGAUUAGAUA
This 279-nucleotide ribosomal RNA is filed under the name uncultured bacterium. RNAcentral's name for it is "partial 16S ribosomal RNA". It matches the Rfam family "Bacterial small subunit ribosomal RNA", at positions 506 to 784 of the family's 1533-position model. The record is from RNAcentral.